AGGGACUACUACGCCGCAAUCGCA
RNAcentral lists this non-coding RNA (24 nucleotides) under Arabidopsis thaliana (thale cress). Lineage: Eukaryota; Viridiplantae; Streptophyta; Magnoliopsida; Brassicales; Brassicaceae. The record is from RNAcentral.